UUAUAUCGUUGGCCUCAGAUCAGGGAGG
This 28-nucleotide small RNA is filed under the name Bombyx mori (domestic silkworm). RNAcentral describes it as "piRNA piR-bmo-1265649". The record is from RNAcentral. Lineage: Eukaryota; Metazoa; Arthropoda; Insecta; Lepidoptera; Bombycidae.